RNAcentral lists this long non-coding RNA (6934 nucleotides) under Selaginella moellendorffii. Its description in RNAcentral is "long non-coding RNA (SMOE_LNC001033)". Lineage: Eukaryota; Viridiplantae; Streptophyta; Lycopodiopsida; Selaginellales; Selaginellaceae. The record is from RNAcentral.
GGGAAUCAUGUGGUCGCUAGAGCCCAGCUUCUUCGAUGAGCAUGGAGCGCUUGUAAGUGAUCUUCCAGCGCUAGAUCCAGAGGAUGCAGCUGCAUGGCUCUCCGCUUCCACCACUUUCUCGACGUUGAGCAUCACGGCAACGGUGAAGGGUGUUGCGUUGCAAUCAGUGAAUGCUGCAAACCGCUAUGCGCUGGUGCACAGGUUGGAACAGAAGUAUCCCGGCUGGAUGCUGCUCAAAGUGGUGCUUGCGGAGGUGCACUAUCUUCUGUUUGACAAAGCUGGGGCGCAGCAGCGGCUGCUCGAUGUCCAAGAUGCCAUAGGGCGUGGUAAGGAUGAGCAGCUGGACAGGGCCGUGCUGGAGCUUUCCAAGCUUAUCCAGGAGGAGGACGAUGGAGAUGAAGAUGACGAAGAGGCGGAGGUGGAAGAAGGCAUGCAAGUCACUUCCUAUGUGCGACCUCAACCUUUCUCGUCUGUUCCGUGUUCGUGGAGUGCGGAGGAGAUUCGGCACAAGUGGCAGACGAGAACUGAAGUUGAUAUUGCUGAGUUUGGUCGCUACGCAGCCAUCACCACAAACGUCCUGGAAGGAGUGUUUUCGCUUGAGGGUCGCAGCUUGUCGCGGCUGGUCAAGCGUGGAUUCGACGUUGACUCGAUCGAGGGUGUUCCUGCCACCAGUCGCAUCAAGAGGAAGGCCAAGAUCGUGCAAAUCCUGGAGAACACACAGUCCUGCUUCGAAUACCUCAUAAAGAAUUCUUCUGCUUUCAAUGACUCGACGAUCCAAGAUGUACACAAGAGACUUAUGGAGGGGAACAAUCUCAACCACGAGGUUGACGAUGGUCAGUUUUAUGCGUGUCUCGUGCCUUGCGGCAGCUACCGCCGAGUUCCAUGCUAUACAACCAAUGGCAACUUGGAAACUCGAUUUUGUCCUUGGAGGCAGAUCCCUACGGAGAUGCAGUGGUUCUUUGAAGAGGCUCGGCAAGCAAUGUCCGACGACUCUGCUGAUCCAUUCUUGGUAUCGGCCUGGCUACACAUCGCGUUUCUCAGCAUUCACCCCUUUGCUGAUGGUAAUGGUCGGGUGGGCCGAAUGAUUUCCUCUCUUCCACUUGUCAAGGCAGGGCUCCCCCCUGUUGUGGUAUCUUUCGAGCGGGAGCGGAAGAAGAAGUACUUCGCUGCACUGAUAGAAGCUCGUAAGUCGGAUGAUCUAGUACCGCUGGCUUCGUUUCUGAAGGAAGAGGUUGAGCUAGCGAUCAUUCACAUCUCCAAUUUGGAUGAUGCCUGAUCUUUGUCUUGAAUUCGUAAUUUCCUAUUAAGCAAUUUCUGGUUGUCGAGCUGAAUUUCUAAUGGAAAUUAAAGCUUAGUCUUCUUGCGUUGUGAAAAAAGAGAUCUCACUCGUUUUUCUAGAGUUGAUUGGCAAGAGUUUCUUUGCAGAUUGCAAGAGUCGAGUCUUGUUUCUUCUCAGGGCAUCAUCCCCGAUCCAUAGGAAGCGCCUGCUUGCUCCCACAACUCACGUUGCUAGGGUCCCUGCCAGUACAGCGCUCAUGCGGGCAGCUGGAGCUGCACCACUUGCUGCAAGGCGGGAGAGGUUCUGACCAAGGUCAUCAAGGUUCUGUAAACAUUUGGUAGUGACCUGGGAUUGAUGCCAGCGUUGUGUAGCAGCAGCACAUUUGGAAGAUUUCACAGUGCAUGGCUCUAGAGCUGGAACUCACACUUCGCAAUAGUAAUGCAAAGGCUCCAAUUCAGUUGAAUUUAUGCAUUUAGAACUUUAACACUCACUCAAGAGCUGGUGCAAAUUGAACCUGUUUAUUUUAUGAUCGGGAGAGCAGGUUGCAUGGUAUAUGAGAGGAAUUAUCCCUUUCCAUUGAGGUAAGAAUUGCCACUUAAAUGCUAUUUUGUGUUAAUUGGAAUUUAUGUAGAUUUAUUGUAAGACAUCAUACUGCAAAAUUUUCAAAGUCAAAAUUGAAAUUGGUGCUAAGACAUAGACUAAAGCCUAAAGAAACAAUCAUCCUUUUGGCUAUGUUCUGUUCCUGUUUCGCAUUCGAAGCAAUGAGCAUCGAGCCAACCACACUCAUCUCAGCACUAAUUGCAUUUCCACCAAUAAAUCUUGUAGGCAAGGCUGCCUUAAAAUCCAUCAAAAGCUUCAUCACAAAUGUCUGGGAACUGGAGAGCAUUGCAAUACAGGCAGCAUCAGAUGAAGGUCAGCUUAUGUACUUGCCAUUUGUGGAAGACAGCAUGAGCAGAUUAAACCCGAGCUCAUCCGUCUACAAGACUUUGGAGAGGGGCAAAAUCAGUCUUGAGAAGCUCAGGAGCUUCGCCUUUGAAGCUUCAAGCAGUGGUACCAUGAACUGGCUUCAGAGGUUUGAUGAGAUUUUAUGGUCUCUUUUUAUCUUGAUCUCCUUGUACAGAAACAAAGACGCCAACAACAUCUUAGAGAUCAAAUCAGAGGUGGAGAAGUUUGUUCACAGCAUGGAUGUGAUAAAUCUCAGCGAGACACUCAAGGCAAACGAGCUGCAAGCUCUCAAGAUGAACGAAUUAUGCGAGUCCCAGAUGCAAGGAAUGAGCAGAUUGUUUGACUUGUGGGAAUCGCGAUUCGAGCAGCUCAUCCAGCUCCAAACUUCUCAGUUCCAGGCUAUCCAGCAGCUGAUUAGCAGUAAUCAGGUAAGUCAACCAAUGUUUAUGCUUGUUCAGUUUAUCUCGUUGAAAACCUACAGCUGAGGCCUCUACCGCAAUUGCAAUCCUCUGACGAUCAAAAUCGACAUUUGCUGCAUGAAAACCACCACCACCACGAUCAAUCACCAACAUCAAUCGUUCGCGCAAUCAAUGGUGGCUUUCAGGUGUGCAUGAACUUCAAGGUAUACCAACAUGUAGUUCCAGUGGCAACGAGCACAAAGCUGCAAACCCAGUUUGCACUCGCGGGCAACGUCCAAAGCUUCCCAUACACCGCUGGUUACGCAGCGGUUGUCAAAGACAAGCUCACAGACGCCGAAGAUUAUCUCUCCAGAGAGGUGGGAAGAGCAAUUGGAUUUUUCACAGUCCCAGCGAAAGGCCUGGUGUACACCACCUUUACCAUGGACUUGAUGGAUCGAGGGACGCUGGCGGCCUCGGGUGUGGCAAUGGCUCCAUCGUUUACUUACAUUGUGAGUGGUGGCACUGGCGAGUUCCUUGGAACCUUUGGCAAGAUGGAAGUUCUCAUUGUUAGCAGUGUUGACGAUGGAGCCAACUUUAUUCUCCUUCACGAUGUCACGCUCUAUUCUUCCACUAGCAUGAAUUAGAAUAUGCUUUGAUACUUCUAAAAUUUAGGGAUUGUGGAUGAUGCUACUCCUGCUAGGCUUGGCGCUCGUCGAGGCGCUGAGCGCGCCGAUUCCUAGGUUUGAGGAGCGCGCAGCUCUCAAGGAGGAUGUCCGAAAUAUGUAAGAUCUGUGAUCUAUCCUUCGUGUAUUUACUGAUUGGAGAGCUCAAUCGAUCGCCAGGUUCCAUCACGCCUACGACAACUACAUGAAAUACGCCUUCCCGGUACGCAUUUCUCUUUCCUGACGAAGGAAACUCACGAGAUUUCGCUUUGUCUGUGGCAGCACGACGAGCUCAAGCCGCUCAGCUUGAGUUAUACUGAUUCGCUAGAGGAGCUUGGAAAUCUUAAGGUAAAGUUCUCGCAGCUUUUCUUCCUUCUACCUUUUUUCUUUUCUUUUUCCUAGCUUGAGCGUCUCUCAGAGACUUACAGUGGAUCGGCUUUGACACUCGUGGAAUCCUUGUCAAGGUAAUAGUGUUCUUGGAUGGAUUUCCAUUUCUUCUUUAUCUUUUCUUCUUAUAUACACAAUGAAACAUUCUCGUCAGCUUGGCAGUCAUGAAGAACAGCAGCGAGUUUGAGAAGGGAGUUUUGUGGCUCGCCGAGAAUUUAUCCUUCGACGUUGAUGUCCGCGUGAACGUUUUCGAGGUACGUUUGAUACCGUCGCAGAGCCAGAUAACGUAAACUCUUUAACGGUGAAGUCUCGCUUCAGUGUAAUAUCAGGUUACUAGGGGGAUUAAUUUCUGCACACUUCCUAGCCAAAGAUUCGAGAAAACAAUUGAUGUCAAAUGGAUACAAUGAUCAGUUGCUUAUGCUUGCAGAGGACUUGGGACUGCGGUUGCUGCCAGCUUUUGACACGCCCACUGGAAUUCCAUACGCUUGGAUCAAUCUGAAGGUUUGCUACAUUUUGUCAACGCUCGCGUUUCAUUUGGAAAGCUUUUUAUAGACCGGAGUGCACCCAAACGAGACGACCGAGACAAGCACUUCCGGGUGUGGUAAGUAGCGAGUUUCGUUCCUUUCUUCGUUCUUUUCGUUGGUUUAAGUAAAAGUUUCAUCUCUCAGGCUCGUUGGUUUUGGAGAUGGGAGCGUUGUCCCGCCUAACUGGCAAUCCACAGUUUGAGAAUUUAGCUUUGCGAGCUCUUCGCAAACUGUGGAGUAUGCGCAGUGAACUCAACUUACUGGGAACGAACCUUGACAUAAAUACUGGACGGUGGACUGAGUACUCUUCAGGCAUUGGUGCUGGUAAUAUUUUUUAAUGUAAUUAUUUGGCCACCGUCCGGCUUGUUCUUUCUGCAGGUAUCGACUCCUUCUAUGAAUAUCUGGUAAAAGCCUACAUUCUUUUCGGAGGCGAAGAAUACUGGGAUAUGUUUCAGGACGCUUACCGAGCUGUCCAACAACACUAUAGAUAUGGUUCCUGGUAAACUAUCAGUAAACAGUUCAUAUGUAUUAAAAGAGCUUUAUAUCAGGUAUCAUGACGCUGAUAUGAGAACUGGGAAAGCUACAUACUGGCAGUUCACGAGUCUGCAAGCAUUUUGGCCUGGACUACAGGUAGGAAUUUAUCGAGAGUUUUAUGAAACGUUAUGAUCUUUUAUUGCAGGUUUUGAUAGGUGAUAUUGCCGCUGCAAACGCUACCCAUAGAGAAUUUCUCCGCUUGUGGGAGAUGUUUGGUAUAUUUCCUGAAAGGUUUCGUUUUGUAGAGUUUUGAUCCUGCUUUGCUUACUAUCCUUAUUAUCUUUUUUUUUGUCUCAGAUACUUACUUGAUGCCGGAAAAGUCCACCCCACAGAAAGAUACUAUCCACUUCGUCCAGAGUUGGCCGAGUCCACAUUUUUUUUAUACCAAGCUACAAAAGGUAGAAUAGUAAGUAAAGUUUGGAUUUAAUUGUAUGUUUUGCUUUUCAGAUCCUUGGUAUUUGGACGUGGGAAAGAAAAUCAUGAACUCUAUCAAUGUGUUUAGCCGCGUCCCCGGAGGCUUUGCUAGCGUCAGAGAUGUCAUGACUAUGAAACUAGAAGACCAUCAACAUAGUUUUUUCUUAUCAGAGACGUAAGUACUCACACCUCCUGCGUGCUGAUGAUCACAAAUCCUUUCAACAGGUGCAAAUACUUGUAUUUGCUAUUUGAUGACAGCUUCUUGGAUGGCGAGAACCAUGUUUUCUCCACCGAGGGCCAUCUCUUCCCUGUCAACCAGUCGUGGCAGCAACAGCCCCGUCCCAAGGUACCAGAGGAUCAAUCUCGCGAAACAUAAGUAGCGUUUGUGUGUUUUGACAGAUAUUGUCAAGGCUACGACUAUUUUCAAGGCAAAAGCCCAUAGACACCAGCGCUCUCGCAUCAAAGACAUGUCCUCGCUUGAGCAGAGGAAGUGUGGAAUCGGCAUGCCACAUCCCAGACACUCGCGCUGACCACCGAUGCGUUUCAAGGUCGGACUGUGGCGUAGACGCGACUACUUGCGCGAAGAGGUCGUGUAGUUUUGCCGGUUAUUGCUCGUGACAAGAUCACCAAAAAAAAGCAUAUAGAAAUUAAUUUUUCUUCCCCAGAAAAAAUAAGAAUUAUUGACAAUCCCAGAAUUGUCGGUCAUAUAUAUAUUGACAAUCCCAGAAGAAAAAAAAAGAAUAAAAGUUAAAUGAAUUUCCAUUGCCGGGAUUUGAACCCGGGUCGCCUGGGUGAAAGCCAGGUAUCCUGACCGGACUAGACGACAAUGGAUCAAUGAAAUAUUGGCCGUUCAAAAAGGUUGAUUACAGUUUAUAAACACGAGAAAGAGACUGCUGCGAAUCAUGUGGUUGCUAGAGCCCAGCUUCUUCAAUGAGCAUGGAGCGCUUGUAAGUGAUCUGGCUUUUGCAUUUGGCAAUCAUUGAUAACUAUUAACUAUCAUCUAAGAUAAUUGAUUAUUCUUGUCAAAAGCCAGUGCUAGAUCCAGAGGAUGCAGCUACAUGGCUCUCCGCUUCCACCACUUUCUCGACGUUGAGCAUCACGGCAUUGGUGAGGGGCGUUGUUUUGCAAUCUAUGAAUGCUAAACAGCGUUAUAGGCAAUUGCACAGGGUGGAAAAGGAAAACAAGUACCCUAGCUGGAUGCUACUCAAAGUGGUGCUGGCGGAAGUGCAUUAUCUUUUGUUCGACAAAGCUGGGGCGCAGCAGCGGCUGCUGGAUGUCCAAGAUGCCAUAGGGCGUGGUAAGGAUGAGCAGCUGGACAGGGCCGUGCUGGAGCUUUCCAAGCUUAUCCAGGAGGAGGACGAUGGAGAUGAAGAUGACGAAGAGGCGGAGGUGGAAGAAGGCAUGCAAGUCACUUCCUAUGUGCGACCUCAACCUUUCUCGUCUGUUCCGUGUUCGUGGAGUGCGGAGGAGAUUCGGCACAAGUGGCAGACGAGAACUGAAGUUGAUAUUGCUGAGUUUGGUCGCUACGCAGCCAUCACCACAAACGUCCUGGAAGGAGUGUUUUCGCUUGAGGGUCGCAGCUUGUCGCGGCUGGUCAAGCGUGGAUUCGACGUUGACUCGAUCGAGGGUAUUCCUGUCACCAGUUGCAUCAAGACGAAGGCCAAGAGGAAGGCCAAGAGGGAGGCCAAGAUCGUGCAAAUCCUGGAGAACACACAGUCCUGCUUCGAAUACCUCAUGAAGAAUUCUGCUGCUUUCAAUGACUCGACGAUCCAAGAUGUACACAAGAGACUU